This 75-nucleotide transfer RNA is filed under the name Sheathia arcuata. RNAcentral describes it as "tRNA-Met". It matches the Rfam family "tRNA". From Rfam's summary of the family: Transfer RNA (tRNA) molecules are approximately 80 nucleotides in length. The record is from RNAcentral. Lineage: Eukaryota; Rhodophyta; Florideophyceae; Batrachospermales; Batrachospermaceae. RNAcentral also lists the same sequence under 1 other name.
CGCGGAAUAGAGUAAACUGGCGAACUCGUUAGGCUCAUGACCUGAAAAAUGUAGGUUCAAGUCCUACUUCCGCAA